UACUAACAUUUCCUAAUCUACAUGAAAAGUAUUAUUAGCCCCCCUUUAUAGUGAGGGAAGUGAGGCAUAGCUUAAUUUACUUACCGGUGUUCACAUAACCAGCAAGAGGUUAAACUGAAGGUGGAAUGCAAGGGUGUUUGACUUUAUGCCCUGCCUACCUCUUUUCUUCUAUUUUCUACAUACAUUUUUAGGUGUCCACUAUGUGCCCUAAUGUGCUAUACACCAGGGAUUAGCCAUGAGAAGACCCCCAAAGAGGAAAUGAGUAUCCCUGCCCCCUUGGUACUUAACGAUCUUGUUCUGUAAUAUUGAAGAAAAGCAACUUGAUUCCACUGAGGCUACAUAUAAAUUAUGGUAAAUUAUGGCAUUCUCAUCAACGUUGACUUGGGCUUCCCUGGAGAAGAAACAAAAAGAGAUAAUCCACAGAAGAGCCAGCGAUAAUGGAUAACAAACUUCUAGUUCGAUCCAAGGAGAACAUGGCCUGUAUUAUAGCAAAGCAGUUUCAGUAUAGUGGUCAAACAUUAUAGUAGAUUGAGGUGGUUAAGCACAGAGAGUCCAAAGGUUUGAAUUUCUGACCUGUAUGAUUGUUCCUCUCUCAGAAGAACUUUUAACACUUCUUGCAAAGCAGAUUUACUGGCAACAAACAAAUGUUUUCAAUUUUUGUUUGUCUGAGAAAGUCUUUAUUUUUCUCUCACUUUUGGGUGAUAAGAUUGCUGGUAAAAGUUUCCUUUGAGGCCAGACCUUUGUUAAGAAGGGCAGAAUAUUAUGAGCAUAUUUCCAAAUGGUUCCUAUUUCCCUCCUCCUGCCAGAAACAUGACAGGAUUUUACUACUCUACCAGAUAAAGUGGAAGACAAACAAAGCUUUGACUGAGACUUCAAAUCCAAGAAGAAGACAAUAGAAGGCAAGUGCUUCCACGGUCCACACUAAGGCUCCAUACCUCAACAGGUGCAACAAAGGAGGGAUUGAGAGAGGAGAUAUUGAUUCUAAAUGAAAUUGGGUUUUA
This is a non-coding RNA of Manis javanica (Malayan pangolin), 1001 nucleotides long. Lineage: Eukaryota; Metazoa; Chordata; Mammalia; Pholidota; Manidae. The record is from RefSeq and is a predicted model, not a curated record.